GUGGGGAAUAUUGGACAAUGGGCGAAAGCCUGAUCCAGCCAUGCCGCGUGUGUGAAGAAGGUCUUCGGAUUGUAAAGCACUUUAAGUUGGGAGGAGGGGCAGUAAGUUAAUACCUUGCUGUUUUGACGUUACCGACAGAAUAAGCACCGGCUAACUUCGUGCCAGCAGCCGCGGUAAUACGAAGGGUGCAAGCGUUAAUCGGAAUUACUGGGCGUAAAGCGCGCAUAGGUGGUUUUGUAAGUUGGAGGUGAAAUCCCCGGGCUCAACCUGGGAACUGCCUCCAAAACUGCAUGACUAGAGUACGGUAGAGGGUAGUGGAAUUUCCUGUGUAGCGGUGAAAUGCGUAGAUAUAGGAAGGAACACCAGUGGCGAAGGCGACUACCUGGACUGAUACUGACACUGAGGUGCGAAAGCGUGGGGAGCAAACAGGAUUAGAAACCCUGGUAGUCC
RNAcentral lists this ribosomal RNA (450 nucleotides) under uncultured bacterium. RNAcentral's name for it is "bacterial SSU rRNA". It matches the Rfam family "Bacterial small subunit ribosomal RNA", at positions 354 to 796 of the family's 1533-position model. The record is from RNAcentral.